GACGAACGCUGGCGGCGCGCCUAACACAUGCAAGUCGAACGGAGCUAUUUCUCUUGAAGUUUUCGGAUGGAAAGAGGCUUAGCUUAGUGGCGAACGGGUGAGUAACACGUGAGCAACCUGCCUUUCAGAGGGGGACAACGUUUGGAAACGAACGCUAAUACCGCAUAAGACCACAGUGCCGCAUGACACAGGGGUCAAAGGAGCAAUCCGCUGAAAGAUGGGCUCGCGUCCGAUUAGAUAGUUGGUGGGGUAACGGCCUACCAAGUCGACGAUCGGUAGCCGGACUGAGAGGUUGAACGGCCACAUUGGGACUGAGACACGGCCCAG
This 327-nucleotide ribosomal RNA is filed under the name uncultured bacterium. RNAcentral's name for it is "bacterial SSU rRNA". It matches the Rfam family "Bacterial small subunit ribosomal RNA", at positions 28 to 334 of the family's 1533-position model. The record is from RNAcentral.